RNAcentral lists this ribosomal RNA (588 nucleotides) under Alcaligenes sp. Its description in RNAcentral is "bacterial SSU rRNA". It matches the Rfam family "Bacterial small subunit ribosomal RNA", at positions 764 to 1357 of the family's 1533-position model. Lineage: Bacteria; Pseudomonadati; Pseudomonadota; Betaproteobacteria; Burkholderiales; Alcaligenaceae. The record is from RNAcentral.
GGGAGCAAACAGGAUUAGAUACCCUGGUAGUCCACGCCCUAAACGAUGUCAACUAGCUGUUGGGGCCGUUAGGCCUUAGUAGCGCAGCUAACGCGUGAAGUUGACCGCCUGGGGAGUACGGUCGCAAGAUUAAAACUCAAAGGAAUUGACGGGGACCCGCACAAGCGGUGGAUGAUGUGGAUUAAUUCGAUGCAACGCGAAAAACCUUACCUACCCUUGACAUGUCUGGAAAGCCGAAGAGAUUUGGCCGUGCUCGCAAGAGAACCGGAACACAGGUGCUGCAUGGCUGUCGUCAGCUCGUGUCGUGAGAUGUUGGGUUAAGUCCCGCAACGAGCGCAACCCUUGUCAUUAGUUGCUACGCAAGAGCACUCUAAUGAGACUGCCGGUGACAAACCGGAGGAAGGUGGGGAUGACGUCAAGUCCUCAUGGCCCUUAUGGGUAGGGCUUCACACGUCAUACAAUGGUCGGGACAGAGGGUCGCCAACCCGCGAGGGGGAGCCAAUCUCAGAAACCCGAUCGUAGUCCGGAUCGCAGUCUGCAACUCGACUGCGUGAAGUCGGAAUCGCUAGUAAUCGCGGAUCAGAAUGU